Cottoperca gobio is the source of this 2490-nucleotide RNA transcript. It is a transcript of the gene named cleavage and polyadenylation specific factor 6, with no coding region annotated. Lineage: Eukaryota; Metazoa; Chordata; Actinopteri; Perciformes; Bovichtidae. The record is from RefSeq and is a predicted model, not a curated record. The transcript has 11 exons.
AGGGGCGCUCGUUGUCUCUCUCUCCGUCUCAUUGUGUGUUGCUCAGUCAGUGGAGCUCUGCACCGCCGGGCGGAGAGAGCGACGGGUCCGAGGAAAAUGGCGGACGGUGUGGAUCACAUCGAUAUCUACGCCGACGUAGAGGAGGAAUUCAACCAGGAAGCUGACUACCCAGUCCACGACCAGAUCGACCUGUAUGAUGAUGUAAUAUCCCCAUCAGCCAACAAUGGUGACGCUCCAGAAGACCGUGACUACCUGGACACACUGCCUACACCCGGUGGCUCAGACGGAGGGAAGGGUUCCCAACCCAAUGUCGUGUACACAUACACAGGCAAAAGGAUUGCCCUGUACAUAGGAAACCUUACAUGGUGGACGACAGACGAGGACCUGACGGAAGCUAUUCGGUCGGUAGGCAUCACAGAUGUGCUGGAGAUCAAGUUCUUUGAAAACAGAGCUAAUGGCCAGUCCAAAGGGUUUGCGUUGGUGUGUGUGGGAUCAGAGUCGUCUUCCAGGAAGUUAAUGGAGCUGCUGUCAAAGAGGGAACUCCACGGUCAAAACCCCAUCGUCACGCCGUGCAACAAACAGUCUCUCAGUCAAUUUGAGAUGCAGUCACGUAAGAGUACCCAGUCAGGCCAGAUGUCUGGGGAAGGCAAAGCCGGCCCCCCUGGCGCUGGCCCUCGUGGGGGUUUCCCCAUGGGUCGAGGUAGAGGCAGGUUCCCCGGACCGCCCGGCCCCGGUGGAGACCGCUUCCCUGGUCCUGUUGGGCCUGGAGGACCACCACCACAUUUCCCUGGCCCAGGAAUGAGACCAGAUCUGAUUAGGCACCAAGAUGGCCCUCUGAUGGAUAUGAGUUUCAAUCCCUUCCCGCCGGGGGGCAGAAACGGGAACUGGCGCGGCAGAGGUGGGUUGCAGGGUCCCCCACGUCCACCUCCCGGUCCACCUGGUCCCCCUGGUCCUCCCGGACCUCCACCUCCUGGCCAGGGCCUCCCCCCUCCCCUCCCUGGUCCUCCGAAUCGUGGUGAUAGACCUCCUCCUCCUGUUCUCUUCCCUGGUCAGUUUGGCCAGCCUCCUAUGGGACCCCUUCCCCCAGGCCCCCCACCUCCAGGUUACGGCCCACCCCCUGGUCCCCCACCCCCUCAACAGGGCCCACCACCACCGGGACCCUUCCCUCCUCGUCCCCCAGGCCCUAUUGGGCCCCCCAUGGUUUUGGCUCCACCUCCACACAUGCCAGGUCCCCCACCGGGCGGACCACCACCAGCACCUCAUGUCAACCCUGCCUUCUUCCCCCCACCUGGCAACAACAACAUGCCCCCCAACGACAGCCGAGGACCCCCUGGACCAAACGACCCAUACGGACGCCCUCCACCAUAUGAAAGAGGGGACUACGGUCCCGGAGGCCGGGACAUGGAGGCAUCACGGACGCCUCUGAGCGAGGCAGAGUUUGAGGAGAUCAUGAACAGGAACAGAGCCAUCUCCUCCAGCGCCAUUUCUCGAGCAGUGUCUGACGCCAGUGCAGCGGACUAUGGCAGUGCUAUAGAGACAUUGGUGACAGCCAUCAGUCUGAUUAAACAGUCCAAAGUAUCAGCAGACGACCGCUGUAAGGUCCUCAUCAGUUCCCUGCAGGACUGUCUCCACGGCAUUGAGUCAAAAAGCUACGGUUCCUGCCUCCAGUCCAAUGAUGCUUGUCCAUGCCAGGCGAGAACGUUCCAGGGAACGAGACCACAGCCGCUCCAGAGAAAAGAGUCGACGCCACAAGUCUCGCAGUCGUGAUCGUCAUGAGGACUAUUACCGAGAACGCAGCCGGGAGCGGGACCGCCAUCGUGAGAGGGACCGGGACCGAGAUCGGGAGAGAGAGCGGGAGAGGGAGUACCGACAUCGCUAGACGAGAAGGGAGGUGGCUAACGAGGAUCAAGGAUGGAUGGAAGGAAAAGGAGGAAGGAUUUCAGUGCGCCACCACCUCCCCACCCUGCAUGACCGGACAGGAUUACAAGCACCACCUCUUCCUCCAUCUCUCCUCUCCUCUCCACCCAUACUUCUGUCUUGUCUGUUCAUCUUGUCUGCCUGAAUAAGAGCAGUGGAUGGAAGACCCUGACCUGUGUAAGGCUAUGUUAUCUCAACAUUUAUACUCAUGGUAACUAAAGAUGAAAGAAAAGAAACUUUCCAAACAGUUCUUUUAUUUUUAUGAUGUUUUAUUUGACAUGAAGAUGACUACAUGUUAUGCUUUUUUGCAAAGAAACAAUAAAAUGGCCCACACAACCCCUAACUAGAAGACACAAACAUUACAUCUUAUUUGCUUUUUAUUUUUCCUUGGCUCGCUGUACUGUGUACAUUCAGUUUAGAGAUCAGUUUUUAUAGGGUUACAUAUUUGAUGUGUUCUCCCCACUCCCUCCCUCAUUCUCAUUUAUUCUUUUUGUUGUUAGAAUGUUUGUAAAUGUCUUUCUGCUUUUGAUUAAAAACUAGAUGGUGUUGUAAUAAAAAAUGUUUACUGAGGUA